RNAcentral lists this non-coding RNA (148 nucleotides) under Gorilla gorilla gorilla (western lowland gorilla). Lineage: Eukaryota; Metazoa; Chordata; Mammalia; Primates; Hominidae. The record is from Rfam by way of RNAcentral.
GCCGGGCGUGGUGGCGCACGCCUAUAAUCCCAGCUACUUGGGAAGCUGAGACGUGAGAAUCACUUGAACCCAGGAGGCACAGGCUACAGUGAGCCUAGAUGGCGCCACUGCACUCCAGCCUGGGUGACAGAGUGAGACCCUGUCUCAA